Beta vulgaris subsp. vulgaris (sugar beet) is the source of this 3228-nucleotide long non-coding RNA. RefSeq lists it as uncharacterized. The transcript is spliced from 2 exons. Lineage: Eukaryota; Viridiplantae; Streptophyta; Magnoliopsida; Caryophyllales; Amaranthaceae. The record is from RefSeq and is a predicted model, not a curated record.
GAGAGAGAGAGAGAGAGAGAGAGAUAGAGAGAGAGAGAGAGAGAGAUAGAGAUAUCAGAGAGGAAAGAUCAUGUGAGAAAGGAAUUUAGGUAAAAAAAAGGCUCAACAAAGGCAUCUGGACAAAUUGAAGAUACUGCACCUAAUGCUCCAUUGUCUCAAAUAAAUUCUCCUACACUUGAUCAAUUCGACAAUAACAUUAACCAUGCAAUUGAGGACAAGUGGGCGGAUAUUAUUGUUGAAUCUUUCCCAUUAUCUGAACAUAUCAAAACUCCACCUCCUAAAUAAAAGUGUAAGGCUAAAGGAAAGGGGGGUAAAGCAGAAAAUCUUAUUCCUAGAAGAAGUCCUAGGCUCAUUGCACCUUCAACUUCUUUCUCCAAUGCACCCAUUCUCUCACAAACAUAAUCGCUUAGUUGUACAACUUUUACUCUAAAGAAAUCUGCUAUGACUAAGCAAAAAAUACUCAGAACAACUGCUGUUAUAAGAGGACUUCCAAUUCCUGGACCAAGAGUCAAUUUGAGGGAUGAUGAUGAUGAAUUACAUGGUCAGGGCAGCGAUGAUAUUGUUGUUGUUAGUUCAUUUACUUUAUUAAUCCAUCUAAUGAUAAUACUAGUGUUGGUGGGGAAAACUGAAUGAGAAAAAAAAGAAGAAAAAGUCCGAUGAGGAUGCACUUGAUAGUGAUGUUGAUGAUAAUGUUCAUGAUGUUGAGGAUGAGGUUGAUGAGGAGACAACCACCAUUCAUGCAUGAUAACUAUGACCUUUAUGUUGACCAAAUCUAGGAAGAUGAUGUAGAUGCCGAUUAAGACAAGUAUUGGUCCAAGUUGUACAGUAACGGACAAAUGUAUGUGGACUCAGGUUGGGGUAGUAUUAAUCUUGCAUCAUGGAUGUUAUUUCAUGACAAAGAGCAUUUCAAGUCAGUACUUAGAGACUAUUGCAUACAAUGUGGAUUUACUCUUGUUGUGCAUAAGUCUAGCCCUUCAAGGUUCAUUGCAGUUUGCAAGGAUUUCAAACUUAGGUGGAGAAUACAUUCUAGUUUAGUUCCUGAUGGAAGAACUUGGGCAAUCAAGAACAUUCAGAACAUGGAACACACUUGUUCAAGGUUUGAUGAAAGGAAUCCACUUGUUCAUGUCAAGUGGGCAGCUAGCAGAUAAGAUGAUGGAUGACAUUAGGAAAAAUGAAAAUAUCUCUGGAAUGACACUAAAUGAACUACGUUGGCAAAGGUAUGGAGUGACAAUGGCAACAUCCACACUGUACAAGAUGAGAAGUGUUACUUUAGCAGAGAUUAUUGGUGGUCAUGAUGAAUCAUAUGGGUUCCUCCCUAAGUAUUGUGAAAUGAUAAAGGAAAUGAAGGAUCUACUGCAAAUUGUUCUUGGACACCCCUAAACCACCUAGAGAGGCCACUAUUUUCAUUUCUUUCAAAGGGGCUUUAGAUGGAGUGUUGAAUGAUUGUAGGAGUAUUAUAGGAGUUGAUGGGGACCACUUGAAGGGUAACUUUGGUGGAGUUAUGCUGUCAACUGUUGCACUUGAUGCUAAUAAUGAGUCGUAUCCAUUUGCUUGGGGUAUUGUAUCAAGUGAAGACACAACUUCUUAGAAAUUCUUUGUAUGGCAUUUAAAGAGGGUGCUUCAGUCUGGAGAUAAAGGUGACAACUGGUGUAUUAUUUCGGAUAGACAAAAGGCAUGUUCCUAAACUUGAAGUGUGUUGUUUUGUUUAUAAUUUAUCUUACAUAUGAUACGAAAUUCUUUUAUGUGAAUGUGGUGCACGAUAUUGAUGCUGCCUUAGCUGAAUGUGGCCAAAGGUUGACAGAAGAUGGUGUUGUAAGCACUUAGCCAAGAAUCGGAAGACUGCAUUCCCAGUUCCAUUGAUGUACUCUCUUUUCUGGCUAGCGUUUCAUGCUACAUCCAACUUCACAUUUGAGAAAGCCAUGGAAAGAAUUCAAAAGACAAACCAUUUGGCUUUGAUUUGGUUGUCAAAAUUAGGUGAUCGAUCAAGAUGAACCAAACAUGCAUUUGAUCCACUUAUAUGCACUUAUGAAAACAAGACUAAUUUUGUUGAGAGUUUCAAUGCAACCCUAUGUGUAGACAGAUGCAGGUCGAUUCUCACCUUACUAGAGGAUUAAGAAGAAUGUGUAUGGUGAGGAUGGCUGCUAGACGCUAAGCUUGUCAACAAUGGAAUGAGAAUGAACCAUGCCCUAACAUAGUGAAAAUACUUCAAAUUCUAAGAUAAAAUUCAAGGACAUACAAAGCAUAUUUAAGUGCACUAGGAUAAUAUGAAAUCAAAGAAGGUAGAAGCACUCUCCUUGUCUCUUUAAACAACAAAACUUGUCUAUGUGGGGUAUGGUAGGUUAGUGGCUUGCCCUGUAGGCAUGGUAUGAGAGCCAUCGUUGUCGCAGAUGAGGACCCUUACAAGUACACAAUCACUUGGUACUUUGUGGCUAUUUACAAAAGGGCACACAAUUAUACCAUCAAGUCUAUCCCAGACCAAGACCAUUGUAAAGAAAUAAGACAUGCCUCAAGUCAAUCCUCCAACCAUGAAAAGGGGAAUUGAAAGACCUUCUAGAAACCAUAGGAGAGAAGAGGGAGAAAAGGAGAAGGGAAAGAGGCCAAAGACUAUCCAAUGCUUUACUUGCAAGCAUUUUGGUCACAAUGCAUUAACCUGCAAGGGAGGACCAACUGCAAAAGAAAAAAAAAUAGGUUAGCAUGUUGAAAUUCAUCUAAGACCACCAAAACCAACCAAGAAGCAGAAGUUAACCUCUCAACCCAACCCAAAAAUGUCAACCAGUCAAGUUAAUAGUGGAAAGAAGAAGAAUGAAAUUAUGUCAACAACUCAGUCUAGUGGAGGAAAAAGAAAGAGGGCAUUUGAUAGUGUAUCACAACCCACCCUUCAUAUCUCUAAUGUUCCUAGUUCCUCAGGUGCAAAGAAGAAAGAAGAAGAAGACAGGUUCUUCACAAUAGUUAGCCUAAUCCUGGCUAGGUUGGGCCACUUGAAGUAGGUGUAGGUGACUUAUUUGAGUUUGUAAUUUUUUGGAUGUUGAAUAAUGCAUCAUGGUGAUGAUUGCUUUUGGUUGAUUACACUUUAAGUUUAACUAGGUAUUUAUGGUAAUUUAGUUUUAUUAUGGUCAGCAUAUGUUAAUUGACAGUAAUUUAGUUCGUUGUACUAUGUUCAAUUCGACAAUUCUUAUUCUCACUUUUAGACAACUUUUUGAAGUACAAUAAUACUACUACUAUUCUCAA